AGCCCUGGGGUGUUACUCACGUCGAAUUGCAAAUUCGGAAAAGCAGCUUGAAUUCUGCCGGGGCUU
This 66-nucleotide transfer RNA is filed under the name Macroscelides micus (Etendaka round-eared sengi). Its description in RNAcentral is "tRNA-Cys". The record is from RNAcentral. Lineage: Eukaryota; Metazoa; Chordata; Mammalia; Macroscelidea; Macroscelididae.